UGAUAUUCAGAUUCGUCUUUAUCACUCUAAAUUUGCGUAGAUUCUUUGGGACUGUCACUGCAUGAUUACAUACACUGAGGCACGUUGUUUGAAAUUAACCCCGAGCCUUUCUAGCCAUCCUAAAUACUUUUAUCCCUUGUAAACCCCAUUUGAGCCUGUAUCCAUUUGUUUGUUUAAACCCCAUAAAUGUACCCCUUGGCUAAAACACUUCCUUACCCU
RNAcentral lists this long non-coding RNA (219 nucleotides) under Lathyrus oleraceus (garden pea). RNAcentral's name for it is "Pisum sativum (pea) long non-coding RNA (PSAT_LNC013606)". The record is from RNAcentral. Lineage: Eukaryota; Viridiplantae; Streptophyta; Magnoliopsida; Fabales; Fabaceae.